CAGCCGCCGCGGUAAUACAGAGGGUGCGAGCGUUAAUCGGAUUUACUGGGCGUAAAGCGUGCGUAGGCGGCUUCUUAACUCGGAUGUGAAAUCCCUGAGCUUAACUUAGGUAUUGCAUUCGAUACUGGGAAGCUAGAGUAUGGGAGAGGAUGGUAGAAUUCCAGGUGUAGCGGUGAAAUGCGUAGAGAUCUGGAGGAAUACCGAUGGCGAAGGCAGCCAUCUGGCCUAAUACUGACGCUGAGGUACGAAAGCAUGGGGAGCAAACAGGAUUAGAUACCCCUGUAGUCCCUGUCUCUUAUAC
RNAcentral lists this ribosomal RNA (301 nucleotides) under uncultured bacterium. RNAcentral describes it as "partial 16S ribosomal RNA". It matches the Rfam family "Bacterial small subunit ribosomal RNA", at positions 509 to 807 of the family's 1533-position model. The record is from RNAcentral.